AAAGACGAAGAAAUAAAUAAAUCAUUAGUUUCUACAGAAAGGCAACGACGAAAUCAUCAAGAGUAAUGAAAAUAAUUUAAAAUUAUGUUCCAUAAUGAAGGCAUAGUUAUUUUCAAAGAAUCUGACAUUACAAAGGAUGGAUAUUCUAAGCCGCACCAAACGAGCCGUCACUUCUGCAACGGGCCAGAAAGAAAAAAAACAAAAGAAGGAGAAGAAACGAAAGAAGAAGACGACCAAAAAGUUAACCAAGCAGCGUCCUAUAUUUCCCGUAGCUGAUAUACAUAACCAACUGGAAAAAGGCAAACCGAGAGGAUGCGUCACUCCUGAGGUGCCUCUGUACUUGGCAGCUGCGGAAGAAUACUUCUGCUGUGAAUUAAUAGAGAUGGCAGUGAACAGUGCUGUCAGCCGAGGCAGCGCUGCCAUAGACGUCCCGGACGUCGUUAAUGCUAUCAGAAACGAUCCCGAACUUAAUAGAAUGGUGGGUGACGUCAUCAAAGAUUUUUAGAGAACACCGAGUUCACAAAAUUGGAGGCUAGAAACAAUUAAAUCUAUUUCCGUACCAGACUGAUAUUCAAUUAAGUUGUAAUAAUGUAUGCUAGCAUGUAUGAACGUAAAUUAAUAAAGCGUUUAACAAAACUUGACAGAA
Long non-coding RNA from Stegodyphus dumicola, 646 nucleotides. The record is from RefSeq and is a predicted model, not a curated record. Lineage: Eukaryota; Metazoa; Arthropoda; Arachnida; Araneae; Eresidae.